GAGGUUAAGCGACUAAGCGUACACGGUGGAUGCCCUGGCAGUCAGAGGCGAUGAAGGACGUGCUAAUCUGCGAUAAGCGCCGGUAAGGUGAUAUGAACCGUUAUAACCGGCGAUUUCCGAAUGGGGAAACCCAGUGUGACUCGUCACACUAUCAUUAACUGAAUCCAUAGGUUAAUGAGGCGAACCGGGGGAACUGAAACAUCUAAGUACCCCGAGGAAAAGAAAUCAACCGAGAUUCCCCCAGUAGCGGCGAGCGAACGGGGAGGAGCCCAGAGCCUGAAUCAGCAUGUGUGUUAGUGGAAGCGUCUGGAAAGGCGCGCGAUACAGGGUGACAGCCCCGUACACAAAAGCGCAUGUGCUGUGAGCUCGAUGAGUAGGGCGGGACACGUGGUAUCCUGUCUGAAUAUGGGGGGACCAUCCUCCAAGGCUAAAUACUCCUGACUGACCGAUAGUGAACCAGUACCGUGAGGGAAAGGCGAAAAGAACCCCGGCGAGGGGAGUGAAAAAGAACCUGAAACCGUGUACGUACAAGCAGUGGGAGCACCCUUUGGGGUGUGACUGCGUACCUUUUGUA
RNAcentral lists this ribosomal RNA (574 nucleotides) under Salmonella enterica. RNAcentral's name for it is "partial 23S ribosomal RNA". It matches the Rfam family "Bacterial large subunit ribosomal RNA", at positions 1 to 612 of the family's 2925-position model. The record is from RNAcentral. Lineage: Bacteria; Pseudomonadati; Pseudomonadota; Gammaproteobacteria; Enterobacterales; Enterobacteriaceae.